RNAcentral lists this transfer RNA (104 nucleotides) under Arabidopsis thaliana (thale cress). Its description in RNAcentral is "ATSL135610". The record is from RNAcentral. Lineage: Eukaryota; Viridiplantae; Streptophyta; Magnoliopsida; Brassicales; Brassicaceae.
AAAAAUAUUCAACCUGCCGGAAUCGAACCAGCGACCUAAAGAUUUCUUUGGAAUUACCCAUUACAGUCUUCCGCUCUACCAACUGAGCUAAGGUCGGUUUGAUA